This 216-nucleotide unclassified non-coding RNA is filed under the name soil metagenome. RNAcentral describes it as "partial contains 5.8S ribosomal RNA, internal transcribed spacer 2, and large subunit ribosomal RNA". The record is from RNAcentral.
AACGCACGAGACCUGCGGACCUGCGGAGGGAUCAUUACAGGACUCGCAAGACUCCUACAACCCUGUGAACCUACUAUACGAACGUUGCUUCGGCGGGUGCGCCCCGGGGAUUCGUUCCCGCGGCGCGUCAGCCCGCCGGCAGCCUACAAAUUCUGUUUCUUUGCGUUGGCAUCUCGAGAGAAACAAAUAAGUUAAAACUUUCAACAACGGAUCUCU